AAUAGAUACCCUGGUAGUCCACGCCCUAAACGAUGUCUACUAGUUGUCGGGGGAUUAAUUUCCUUGGUAACGCAGCUAACGCGGGAAGUAGACCGCCUGGGGAGUACGGUCGCAAGAUUAAAACUCAAAGGAAUUGACGGGGACCCGCACAAGCGGUGGAUGAUGUGGAUUAAUUCGAUGCAACGCGAAAAACCUUACCUACGCUUGACAUGUCCGGAAUCCUGCAGAGAUGUGGGAGUACCCGAAAGGGAGCCGGAACACAGGUGCUGCAUGGCUGUCGUCAGCUCGUGUCGUGAGAUGUUGGGUUAAGUCCCGCAACGAGCGCAACCCUUAUCAUUAGUUGCUACGCAAGGGCACUCUAAUGAGACUGCCGGUGACAAACCGGAGGAAGGUGGGGAUGACGUCAAGUCCUCAUGGCCCUUAUGCGUAGGGCUUCACACGUCAUACAAUGGUCGGUACAGAGGGCUGCCAACCCGCGAGGGGGAGCCAAUCCCANAAAACCCGGAUCGUAGUCCGGAUUGCAGUCUGCAA
RNAcentral lists this ribosomal RNA (531 nucleotides) under uncultured bacterium. Its description in RNAcentral is "bacterial SSU rRNA". It matches the Rfam family "Bacterial small subunit ribosomal RNA", at positions 777 to 1310 of the family's 1533-position model. The record is from RNAcentral.